AUUGAACGCUGGCGGCAGGCCUAACACAUGCAAGUCGAGCGGUAACAGAUUGAUAGCUUGCUAUCAAUGCUGACGAGCGGCGGACGGGUGAGUAAUGCCUGGGAAUAUACCCUGAUGUGGGGGAUAACUAUUGGAAACGAUAGCUAAUACCGCAUAAUCUCUUCGGAGCAAAGAGGGGGACCUUCGGGCCUCUCGCGUCAGGAUUAGCCCAGGUGGGAUUAGCUAGUUGGUGGGGUAAUGGCUCACCAAGGCAACGAUCCCUAGCUGGUCUGAGAGGAUGAUCAGCCACACUGGAACUGAGACACGGUCCAGACUCCUACGGGAGGCAGCAGUGGGGAAUAUUGCACAAUGGGGGAAACCCUGAUGCAGCCAUGCCGCGUGUAUGAAGAAGGCCUUCGGGUUGUAAAGUACUUUCAGUUGUGAGGAAGGCAGUUAAGUUAAUAGCUUAGCUGUUUGACGUUAGCAACAGAAGAAGCACCGGCUAACUCCGUGCCAGCAGCCGCGGUAAUACGGAGGGUGCGAGCGUUAAUCGGAAUUACUGGGCGUAAAGCGCAUGCAGGCGGUCUGUUAAGCAAGAUGUGAAAGCCCGGGGCUCAACCUCGGAACAGCAUUUUGAACUGGCAGACUAGAGUCUUGUAGAGGGGGGUAGAAUUUCAGGUGUAGCGGUGAAAUGCGUAGAGAUCUGAAGGAAUACCGGUGGCGAAGGCGGCCCCCUGGACAAAGACUGACGCUCAGAUGCGAAAGCGUGGGGAGCAAACAGG
RNAcentral lists this ribosomal RNA (761 nucleotides) under uncultured bacterium. RNAcentral's name for it is "bacterial SSU rRNA". It matches the Rfam family "Bacterial small subunit ribosomal RNA", at positions 28 to 776 of the family's 1533-position model. The record is from RNAcentral.